CAGUGGCCAUUUAAGCUGAUGCUGUUUUCUCUGUGGGGUCUGAUAUGCAAUGGCUGCAAACAGCAGUCUCCUUGGUAGUGUAUGCAGACUGUUGCUUAUAUAAAGGGUUCCCUAAGGGACAUUGAAACAGCU
Small nucleolar RNA from Manis javanica (Malayan pangolin), 132 nucleotides. RefSeq annotates it as small nucleolar RNA SNORA70. The record is from RefSeq and is a predicted model, not a curated record. NCBI's taxonomy places the organism in Eukaryota, Metazoa, Chordata, Mammalia, Pholidota, Manidae.